ACAAAGAACCCACCAUGACUUUUAGCCACUGUUCCUUGUUUUGGAACACUUCACUCACUAGUCUUUAAUACUAGUGGGAGGGUAAGUUAAAAAGGGCUAUUGGGAAUGACAUCUUCUCAAGUGUUUGUACAAUAAAGGAAACAUCACCAUGAGAUUAGAAUAGAGUUUAUUCUUUAUUUAUUCAUUUAUUUAUUUAUUGAGGGUGUAUUUGUCUAGUCAUCUCAACCUCCAUUCUUCACAUUCCAAAAAUUUAGUGUGAUUGAACAAAAUUUUGGAUUCUCAUUCAUUUGAAGUGUCUAACAAUUGCACACUCUCAUUGGUAUGACACGUCAUCCCAACGGUGUUGCUUUUGCUAAAUCUUAUAACAGCUUCCCUGAUCUUUAACACUUGCAAGUCAUUGAAACUAUUUAUUGAUGAUUUAAUUUCGUUUACCCAAGUGUUGUAGCAUUUUCUUCUCUUUUGCAAUUGAUUUUUUUUUGUCUCUCUUUAGUUGGGGAUGUCUUAUAUAAUGUAGACAUGUAUGUAAACUAUACCUUGUGAAUAAUGAGUAAUCUAUUUCUAGUAUUUUAUUUAUACAAAAUAAAUUUCUUUUGAAAUGGAGUUACCAUUGGAUCAAGUUCUACACACUCGUUUGACAGAUUACACCAAAACAUGUGUGACUUAGACAACGGAUUUAAAGACCAAACUAGGCCUAUGACUACAAUUAAUUAGGUUCAAUUUAGAGAAUAAAUAUGCUUUAUUAUUAAUUGUUAUAUGUGUUUUUUUUUAUAAUUACUAUUUCUUAUUAUGCAUCAACCAGUCCAUUGUUAUAUGUAUCUUCUCUUCUUCUUCUUUUUUCAGGUGUUGUGACCAUAUGAGCCACACGCUUGUUGAUUUCCAAAUUCAUGGUCUUACUCACCAAUUUUAUGAUUUAAAAUCUACUAUUACUGCUUUGGUUUCAACUUUCAAUUAUUAGGCAUUUCUCUUAAAGAAAAUCCUUUGUUUUUAUUAGUUGGAAUUUCAACUUUCUAUUUUUGUCUGUU
Molecule: long non-coding RNA, 1022 nt
Filed under: Glycine max (soybean)
Lineage: Eukaryota; Viridiplantae; Streptophyta; Magnoliopsida; Fabales; Fabaceae
Description: long non-coding RNA (GMAX_LNC004373)
Source: RNAcentral